This 195-nucleotide microRNA precursor is filed under the name Setaria italica (foxtail millet). Its description in RNAcentral is "MIR1435 microRNA precursor family". It matches the Rfam family "MIR1435 microRNA precursor family". The record is from Rfam by way of RNAcentral. Lineage: Eukaryota; Viridiplantae; Streptophyta; Magnoliopsida; Poales; Poaceae.
UAGUUUUGUCCUAUGUCAAACUUAUCUGAUUUUGACAAAGUUUAUAGAAAAGUAUAUUAACAUCUAUAAUACCAAAUAAAAUGCCCUAACAAGUUCCAUGGUGGAUUUAACGAAACUGAUUUGAUGCUGCAGAUGUUGGUUCAUUUUUUCUGUAAACUUGGUCAAAACUAGAGAAGUUUGACUUGACAAAACUAA